CCAGCACGGCAGACAGAGGCAGGUGAGCAGGCAGGAUCUGAUCGGCUGGCACAGACACCGGCGUAGGAUGGCAGUGGCUUCAUUCACAGGGUGAUGAAGAGGAGAAGCUGGUUUGUCGCCACGCACUGCUCAGAUAAUGGCGGAAGCAAAGGCUCCUCUCAGCUCUAGGCAAACGGAAGCUAGGGACUGGGUAUGCUGAGGCUGGUGUCUGCACGCGCCGGAGGGGGCUGGGCUUCAGGACCCUGGACAGCGCCUCUGCCGCACCCGAGCACCAGGACCAGUGCUGAGGACGAUUAGGGAUGACAUUCGCAGGGUGGCUGGAACACAGACAACAUGAUAAGAGUGAGCGCUGGUGAGAAUAAACAAGGCGUGAGUUAUGGGGACUGCCAAAUGUGCUGUGCGCUCUGAACUCUUCAUCGGCUGAAGGUUUUUUCUUGGUGUUUGGCUGAAAAAGCUUCCCAGUUACCCGCUAAGGGGAGGUGAAGGCUGAUGAUGCUGUACAAGGCCAGUUUCUUAAUAAACAGUGUGUGCAGUCCA
Chinchilla lanigera (long-tailed chinchilla) is the source of this 537-nucleotide long non-coding RNA. RefSeq lists it as uncharacterized. NCBI's taxonomy places the organism in Eukaryota, Metazoa, Chordata, Mammalia, Rodentia, Chinchillidae. The transcript is spliced from 3 exons. The record is from RefSeq and is a predicted model, not a curated record.